UAGGAUGUUACAAGAUAUUGAAUAUAGUUCCCUGUGCUACACAGUAGGUCUUUAUUAUCUGUUUUAUAUAUAAUAGUGUGUAUCUGUUAAUCCCAAAGUCCUUAUUUAUCCCUCUUCCCCAGAUCAUGUGUUUUUCACUCUUCAGUUUGUUACUGUGGUGCAUCACACUGAUUGAUUUAAGGAUACUGACAAACCCCUGCAUCCCUGGGAUAAAUCCCCCUUGACCAUGCUGUAGGAUCCUUGCAACGUAUCGUAGGAGUUGGUUUGCUAGUAUUUUGUUGAAGAGUUUUGCAUCCAUAUUCAUCAGUGAUGUUGGCCUGUAAUUUUCUUUUUUUGUGUGUGAUAUUUUUGGUAUCAGAGUGACGGUGGCCUCAUAGGAUGAGUUUGGAAGUGUUCCUUCCUCUUCAGUCUUCUGGGAUAGUUUCAGAAGGACGGGCAUUCGCUCUUCUCUGAAUAUUUGGUAGAAUUCACCUGUGAAGCCAUCUGGCUCUGGAAUUUUGUUUGCUGGGAGUUUUUUAAUUACUAGUUCAGUUUCAGUGCUGGUAACUGGCUUGUUCAUAUUUUCUGUUUCUUCCUGGUUCAGGCUUGGGAGAUUGUGCCUUUGCCCGUCUUACUGGCAUAUACUUAGUUGCUCGUAGUAGCCUCUUAGGAUCCUUUGUAUUUCUGUGCUGUCAUUUGUAAUUUUUCUUUGUCAUUUCUCAUUUUACUGAUUUGGGCCCUCUCCCUUUUCUUCCUUGAUGAGUCUGGCUAAAGGUUUAUCUAUUUUUUUUCAUCUUUUCAGAGAACCAGCUUUUGGCUUCAUUCUCUUCCCCCCCCACCCUGACCCCCACCCAUAUUAUCUAGGUGAACAGAAUAUAGGUACUCAUUGCACUAUUUUUUCAAGUUUUCUAAGUGUGGAAAUUUUCCAAAUAAAAGUUGGGGUAAAAUGCCAUUGUGUCUACACCCUGUCUCUGUCACUCCUGUAUCCUAAUUCUACAGUGGGGCCCUACUGACCCACAAUUUCUUGGUAACACGUUUUCUCUCACCUUUGGCUGUUUGCAUGUAUUGCUCCCAUUGCCUGGAUGUAUCAUCUGGCCUCCCCCUCUUCCUUCACACACCGACUUUGCCUGUAUAACUCCCAGAAGAUUUUUUUAAGAUUUCACUUCCUCCAGGAAGCCUUCCUUGACCACCUAGUCCCACUCAAGCCUAGGUUGAGAGCCCUUCAUUUAUUCCCUUUAUUGUGAUUGUCUUCAUUAUUGCCCUUGCCAUAAAAUAUUAUACCUGCCCAUUAAACUUAUUUGUCUUCACUGCACUGUGAGUUCCUUAAAGGCAAGAAUUAUGACUUACUCAUCUUUUUGUCCUCUGUGAUUACUGUGGGGCCUCAUACAAUAUUUAUUAAAUAAAUCAACGAUUAGUUUUUCUAUGAAAUGCAUAUUUAUUUCAUAUAAUUCCAUUUAAAAGGAAAAAAUGAGAAAAAAUAAAGUGAGCCUUGAUGUUUUAUUUAGCCUGUAAAGCUUUACUGCUGAUAACAGUAUAAUUUCAGGUUAGACCUUUAUAAAUAGUAAAAAUAGUUCCCAAAUUCCUAGUAUGAACCCCAUAAAACUCUUGGUGAAAUGUCCCUGACGGUCCAAAGAGAAAUCGGUUGGUUGUUUCUCUCAGCUCCAGCUGAGCUGUUUCUGCCUCUCUGUUGUAGCAUUCUGGGAGGGUUGGUGGGGGAGAUCCAAAAUAGGAAGCAAGGGUGUGGUUUUUCAGUUUUGGAGCUUGGUGAGAGAUAUAGCCUCAUGAGUGAUACUAAUCAUUUUUCCUUACAUUCAUACCAUUUUUUUUUUUUUUGCAGUUUACAGUGCACUUAUUCCUCGCAAAAGCCCUGUGAAAUAGACAUUAUUCCUCCAUUUUAAAGAUGCUGCUAAUAAAAGCCAGAAGGUGCUAUGAAGGUUUUCUUGUGAGAAGAGGAAGAGACACCAGGGAUGCAAGUGCACAGAGAAAAGGGCAUGUGAGGACACACUGCAAAGGUGGCUGUCUGCAAGCCCAGGAGAGAGGCCUUAGAAGGAACCAAAGCUGCUGACACUUUGCUCUUGGAUUUCUAGCACCCAGAACUGUGAGAAAAUUUCUAUUGUUUGAGCCAGCCACAGCCAGGCAGUGUAAUAACUGUUUUUUAUGAAUUAUCUCUUUAAUAGUCACAGUUACCAAAUGAGGCAGGCACUACUGAGACAGGGACUCCCAACAUAAUUUUGCUCACAGUAGGAAUGCGUUCAGAGUAGGCUUAGGCCUGACCCUGAAAGUAAGUAGGUGGAAUGCUCUGGCUCGUAAAUGGCUGAGGUGGGGAGAGGGUUUAAAUGGAGCCAAGCACUUUCCUAACACGUGCAUCUCUCUCCUGGUUGUGUCUAACCAUGUUUACUCCUUGUUCCUUACGUUACGGGGGAGUGGUAAGCCCUAAUGUACCAGGGCAAGCCUUUGCAAGGGUUUACACGCUGGACUGAUAAGUCCCUUCUGAUCACUCACUAUUCACUUCUAAUUUUUUCCUCUAUUUUGGUCUCUUUCUUACUCAUCUCCAGGGAUUAGCCAGGUAAAUAUAUUUGCAAAUAACUAUUCUUUUUCCUUUCCUAUACAUAUUACUGGUUAAAAUGUAUGUCUCAAAGGUUAUCAAAGUUCAGAAACAGAUACAAGUACAUAUAUAAGAACAUCAAUAUAGUAAACUAUUUUAAAAAGUUAUUGGGGGUGACACUAAGUUAAUUAAUAAAUAGUAUUAGAGAAUCACUUGAAAAAAGUUAACUCCCUUCCCUCAGAUGAUACUAAAUUAAUUUCAGGUGGAAUAAUGGUUUAAGUGUUAAAAAAGAAACAUGAAAGUAUUAAAAAAUGAGAAGAUGGACAUUUUUAUAUAAUCUAGGGGUAUAGAAAUCAUGUUGAAACAUGUAAACAUAAGUACUAAAAGAAGAAAUAAGCGGAAAAAUUGAUAGACUUGAUUAUAUAAAAGCAAUAUGGUUGGUCAUGGCAGAGUGGACAGGACCGUCUGCAGUCCAGUACUCAACAUCUGUAGAUUCAAGGAAGAAUUUAUAAUAAUUAAACCUAUUCUUUCCAGGUGUGUUUGAGGUCAGUUAACAUAGAACUUAUAAACUGGUCUCAGGAGACAUUUUGGAUCAUCUGGUGAAGACUUCACCUCAGCAGAUUACAACCAUCUUCUGAAGUCUUGGAGAUAGUCCCCAAGGAAUUGUUGGGAACACGGCAGCGUGGUGUUCUUAGAGUAAGUUGGGAAGGGGCUUGCAAUUUCACUGCCAGGCCCUUUGUGAGUCAGGGGAGGGCGGUGGUGGAAAAUACCCAGUGGUAAUGGAGAAUGCAUUGCGGUCCGUGCAGGGAGGGGCCGAUCUUCCCUGCAGACGGCUGCAGGGCUUCAUGAGCAAUGCAGCCAAGAGUUCGCGAUGAAUCCUCAUAGUUUAACACAUAUAAGAACAUGAUAGCCAAUAUUUAUAUGAUGUUUUAAACUUUUUAUGGCACUUUUACACAUGUCCAUACUUUUUUAGGAGUAGUAUGGGUUGUGAUGGGAGAUUUGAGUUUGAAUGCUUUUUCAGCCUGUCGGCUGUAUGAUCUUUGGUGAGUUGCUUAACCUCUCAGGACCUGUUUUCUCCUCUGUAAAAUGAUGGUGAUGGUGAUGUUGCUAGCGUCAAGGUGAUACCUACCUUAUAAAGUAAGGACUGAUUGAGAAAUACCUAGUAUGAUGUUUGAUGUUUAAGAUGUAGGAGGCACUUGAUUUCCGUUCCUUCUCUAAGGGGUGAUUGUGUCAGUGGGCCUCCAAUUUCCACAACAGUUACAUGUCUAUACAGGUAAUGGACUCUCUUCAGAUAUGUCUCGUGUAACACGGUGAUUCUUAACACCAGCCAUGGGGGUGGAGGUGGUGAUGCCUCUGUUAAAAGGCACCUCUCCACCCUCCCUGAGAAUCACUGGUCUGUACUUUGAUACCUGAAGGAUCUCCCACUAGUUUGAUAUUUUUGUUUGAUAUUUUCACUCACAGUUUUAUUUCAGUGAAGUGAGGAUUUGCCUCCCUGGGAAGAUAAUACAUUAAGUUAAUGAAGAAGGUAGUAGUCAGUAUGUUACCUUCUCCUGUGUAGCUAGUUACCAGGGAGCUUUGUGUGUGUGGUGAGGGUCAGGGGAGGUGGUGUAUGUGGGGGAGUUUUGAUGGAAAGACAGAGUACUCAGGGCCCAGAGGAGAGCCGAUUGAGCUGUAUGGAAGAAAAUGAAUAAAAGGGAAGGUGAGAGGAACUGAAGACGAUUGCCUUUUUUCUCAAUAGGUCCUCAGCAGACUGUGAGCCUCAUUUGGCUUCUCAUGGGGCAUCUACUGCCUCUCAGUAGAAACUGCUCCCUUUAUGCUGUAAAUCUGUCGCAUUUCCAGUCUCACCUACCCUAGGUGUGAGACCUGACCCACCGCUUGAGUCAUACGGUUAUCUGAGCCAACUCAUAUUAAGUACCAUGAGGUCCUGGAAUUUUAUCUGUCAAAACCUAAUAGUUCUCCCUAUAAUGAUACAUAAAUGACUGCAAAUAAAUCUUCGUAGCUGCAAAUAUAGAAGACAAAGAGAAAAGACAUGGUCUUGGUUUCCUAUGAACUGCUCACAGGCUAGAUUAACUGAGCAUCACUUUUGGCUUAUUCUGAAGAACAGAUAUAGGACUAAGGUAUCCAUCAAGUUCUUAUUUGUAUUGUUUAGAGUUUUGGGUAAGAGACUUUAUAACUGAAAAUGCUAAGGAUACUUCUUAGGCCAGGCAGUUAGAGUUGAGCUGAAGAGAGAAGCUAAGCUGAAGGUCAGGUUAUGACUUUGAGAAGACAUAGACUCCUGUAGUGAUAACUGCAGACCCCCUUCUAAGCUGUGACUUAACUCCUGUGGCCCAGCAGACACUCAGAAAACAAGGCUUCCAGGAGUGUCUGCUUGAUCCCUUUUAAGAGCAAACUUCCAAGGACUACCUGGGCCUCCACCCUUAUUUUGUCGUCGUCAUGGUUCUUCAUUGCUGAGUACUUGGACACUUUGAAAAUGAUGACAGAAUAAGGGUGGAAGUCUCCGAGUACUCAGUAGUGAAGAACAGUUGACAAAACAGUGUGUGCUUUUGUGUUAAAUUGCAUAUAUAGACUAAAGAAGAGAAUAAAAUCAUGGUGCCUCGGACCAUUCAGGGACAGCUUCAUGGGGAAAGAAGAAUUUUUGCUUGAAGGAGGUAGAAUUCAAAGAAAGACAAGAGAGCAUAUCUAAAGUUCUGUUUUUGGUGACUGUUAAUUUUUACUCAUGGCUCCCAUACUGAAACUCCUGGAGAUGAUUGCUGUGAACGAGGGAAUAAGACACUGUUAGAAGGAACAAGACCUUCAGGUGAAUAGUAAGAUAGGCUGAAUUAGAGUAGCCAGUCGGAUGUAUGGAGACUUCACCAGCUGGAGGGAGAUUAGAAAUUACAAAUUUCAUUAAUAGAACCAAAGCACACCACACAUGCCACUGGGCAGAAGCCUUAUUAUGCAAUAAUGAUGCCCCAGCAUCCCCCAAUUUAUGCACAGAUUGGGGUCACUGCGCACUUACAAUGAGUCUGGGUACAGGUGGUAGCCAGUGCUGCUGCCUGAAGUUUGACUUGUUGAAAUGUCUUAGCUCCUGACAUCAUUCAGAUUUGAGCUUCCCUGAUGAUCGUGAUGUACAUCGUAUUCUGGUCCUUCUACUUCAGCUCAUACAAUGCAUCUGUGCACAACACUGUGUUCCCGACAAGGUCAGGGAGGUUACCUGGGGUGGGAGUGGUUAUGCUUGCUUUCACCGUUUGCUUUCUCAGUGUGGUUCAGCAUUAUUCUCUUCCUGCAGAAGGCCUAUAGGGAACAAGCUGGAAAUGUAGCAGAGUUGUUGCAAAAGUCCUCUGGGAAUUCUCCCUUUGGCAAUUCAGUUUUCUAUAGAUUUUAUUCCUCCACCAACUACCACUGUGAUUUUUGGCAAGUUACAUUGCCGGAGGAUGGCCAGUUACCGCCCCUUUACCCUGGGCCUCGAGGUCUUCACCUAAAAGGUGAAAGGACUAGGAAAGAGGAUUCUGAGAUUUGAGAAUUUGAUAAUUCCUGAGAAGUAAAAGUCAGACUUUUUGAUCCCAGAGCAAUGUGUUUGUCCACCUAUACUUAUUCUCCCACAUUUAUCUGCCAUGAGCCUACUGUCACCACUGAUUUUCCCAGAUGGAGACCUGGCAGUAAAGCCUAAUGCAGUUUCCUUAAGAAACAGGACCUAGCCACCUUGCGCAUGCUCACAGGCUCCCGUCAUUCCCUCCCAUUCGUUAUCCAUUCAUUCAACAAACAUUUAUUGAAGGCCCGUUAUGUGCUAGGUACUAAUCUUUAGAUCCUGAUCUAUGGCUUUUUAUCCAUCUUCCCUUUCCUACACCUCUGAAAACCAGACAGACAAUAGCACAGGGAAUGUGUAUUUCAUCAUUCUAGUGAACUCUAAAAUGAAGUAGUCCAAGUGCCAGGGAGGCAGCGGUCAAUAUGCGAAAAGUCUGGGAAGGAGGCUGGAAACAUUCUUUUUUUUAAAACAUCAUCGAAGUUUUGUUCCUCAGGGUCUCAGUUCAAAGUUUCAUUGCCCCUGCUUGGAGAAGUCUAUGGGUUUCAAGGAAGUUACAUGUUAUUAUUGGCCUUACUCUGAAUUUUGCCUAGGCGGGGUCCUGAAACCUAAGUUCAGAGUGAGAUGGAACUCAGGCAGCGCUCUCACAGGACUUGAUUUGUAGAGAAGGGAAAGGAACGUAGAAGCUCAGGCAGCUGAAGAUAAUCCCAUCAGGAAUUCUUGGCUGCCUGAAGCUGAGACCUGGCUCUGUGCUGAGGCAGCCGCCCAAGAAACAGAGGCUAAUGCCUGUUUUAGGAAGCAAACAGGUUUGUUUGCUCCCCUCUCUUCUAGAUCUUUUUCUACUCUACAUCAGAGCUUCUUAAUCUCAGCACGAUUGACAUUUUGGGCUGGAUAAUUCUUUCUUGUGGGCAGACUGCCUGUACGUUGUGAAGUGUUGAGCAGCAUCCCUGGGUCCUUUUUAUCCACUAGGUGCCAAGAGCACCCCCAGCCCUCCCCAAGCUGACAACAUAAUUGUCUCCAAAAUUUUCAGAUGUCCCCUGGGGUGGUGCAGAGUUACCCUGCUUGAGUCCCACUGCUCCAGAUGCUGUUGAGAGCUGAGGUGAUCACUGUCCAUGCAGAAAAGAAAGUAGAAACCUCAAACCUUGUGAUGGCAUGAUGCCCCGUGCAGUCAAGAUGAGCGGUCCUUUCCUGGACCAUUCAAGGGGGAACAUCAUCUGAGAAGUAAAAUGCCGUUAGUUUGUUUUUAAAAAUUUAGAAAAUCAGUGUCACCCAACUAAUGUAAACAUUUUUUAUGUUAAAAUCAUUUUCCACAUAUCCUAAACAUAUGCCAGGUGGGAGGAGGUGCCAAGGCACUUUUGCAUUGUAAUGAAAAGUGAAUCAUUUGAACCAUCAGUAAAAUGCAGCCACCUCUGAAUUGUGAAGUGGCAGCUGAUUAGCAGCAGCUUACUGGAUCCACCACAGUUUAAUUUGUGGAUUAUAAAAUGUGUGUAUAUUGCAAUCAGAACUUUCUAGGAACUUCCUCAGAGCAACAUUACAGCAAUAUAGCUGAGGAUUCAGAGACAAGAGAGAUGUAAUAUCCCAUUUUCUCACUCCCCUGACGGGGAUGGCUAUGGGGAGGUCCCUGAGAUAUGGGAAUAUACAUGUCUCCACAAGCAUUUUACUUAGUAGUCUUAAUACACUUCUCUAGUUCAGAUGAACUGUUUUCCCAACUUUUAAUAUAUGUCUUUGAAGAUAAAUUUAUCUUGUUCAUAUUGAAGUCUUCUGUGGGUUGCUUUUGGCUGCUUCUUGCUUGAUCUUAUUUUUUCACUCCAGACUUCUCAAACAUGAAUUCAUUUCCCCCCAGAAAUAUAAAAGUAGGUCAUAUCUUGUGGUGAAAUAGUUCUGCAGAUUCCUGGGAUUCUGAAAAUAACAGAAUAACAGCAAUAAGAUACCAUUACAGCCAUUCAGCAAACAUUUAUUGAGAAUGGACAGUCUCCCUUCCACUGCAUGAGUGUAUCUCUCGUUCAGAAAUGGGCUUGUUUUUCUGUGUUUGAUGAUAGUCUGUUGAGACCACAUGGUAUCAUGGGUUGCUGGGUGAAAGAAAAUGGCUUGAGUCUCCCCUUGAGAUAGAGGACCAUCCUCAGAGCAAACAGGAACUGAGAGAGGAACUAGGGGCAGGCUCCUAGGUAGAAGCAAAAAGAUCUCAGCCAGGGAAUGUGUGUGACCUAAAGUGUCAUGAUCGGUUAUUAUGUAUAUUUCUUGUAUGACCUAUUCAUUUACUUGAAAAAAUUAAUUUAAGGUUAUCCCUCUAUAGUUCUAGAGAGAGAGAGAUGGAGCUGCAGUUGACCAGGUAACAAUGUGUAACCAUGUGUGUACUGCAUGCAAACACCAACUGUGACAUGUAUGCCAUGGAUCAUUAAAAAAAAAGAUUGCAAAUUACUCUAAGGGAAUACAAGAUAAAGACAAAUAAGGUACAUUUUGUAGGUCAGAUUAUCUAGUUGCAGGAUAUUAAAAACUCAUUUACAGUAUUGUGGGAAACAAGGAAAGAAGGGCUUCUACUAAUGAGAUCCUCAAGGGAUAGUUCCUCAGAGAAAUCUUCCUCCAUUGACAAUCAUGGAGGUCAGAAGUGAUGGAAACAGGCAGAUUUCCUCACAGAGAAUUCUGCUUUUGUGCACUGCACCACAGUAAGUGGAGAACAGGAGAAGGAAUGAAAAGUAGAGCAACACAUCCCUAGCCAAGAUGGUGGAGUAGAAGGACCCUGAGCUCACCUCCUCUCACAGGGACACCAAAAUCAACCAUUUGCAGAACAACCAUUGAUGAAAAAGACUGAAGCUACCAGAAAAGAUGUACAACUAAAGACGUAAGUAAGGAACCACAAUGAGACAGGUAGGAAGGGCAGACUCACUAUAUAGUCAAAUCCCAUACCCCCGAAUGGGUGAUCCAUGAGCUAGAGAAUAAUUACUUUGCAGAGGAUCACCCAAAGGAGUGAGAUCUGAGCCCCAUGUGGUGCUUACCAGCCCAGUGGUCCCACACCAGGAAGAUGAGCCCCCAAACAUUUGGCUUUGAAGGCCAGCUGGGCUUACUUUUUUGAGAAUCAGAGGGCUGUUGGGUGGGGUCAGGUCUUGGCAUUAAUGAGCUAGAGGGAGAAUCCCACAAUGGCUCUUGCCAGCACCAGUGUCCACAUGGUAGAAGGAGCUCCCCAAAAGGGCUGCCACCAGUGCCUGUGUUCCCAAGGUGAUGUGCAGUUGCCUCCUGCCUCUCCAAGAGACUCUUCUGGAUCAGUAGGUAGGUCUGACCCAGGCUCCUAUCAGAUUACUGCUUCUGCCCUGGUUGCCAGAGCAUGUGAGACCCUGCCCUGGGGACCAGCUGGGUCCCAGCUCUGCCCACUAGCAGGUCAACACAAGCGUUGAGACACUCUGGACCUGAGACCCAACUGUGUUAGGAACUGGCCCCUCCACCAGCAGUGCAAUACCAGCUGGGUCUUAUAACCAGACUCCAAGACCUGGCUCUGCCCACCAGUCAACUGGCACUAACCCAAGGACCUGGCUUCACCCACCAGUGGGUGAGCAACAGCACCAGAGUCUUCUGGACCCUGACUCUACCCACCAGUGAUACAGCACUAGGCCCAAGGCUCCUGGAUUUCCACAGUCAGCUGCCUCAUAAACUGGCCCUGCCAACCAGCAGCUGGCAGCCUCCACAUGAAGCAAGGCCUGGCAACCACUGGCCUGGGGGUCAACGAAGCCUACUAGACUUCCCACCUAGUCAGCCCACCACAACAGAAGGACCCACACAGCCUUCAUGGGAAGAACUCUAGAGCAUACAGCUCAGGUGACGAGAGAGAUGUGUCUGUUGGUAUGCAUAGGACAUCUACAACAAAUCACUUCUCAAAGGUCAGAAAAUGUAACCAACCUGCCAGAUACAUAAAAAUACAAAUAGGAACUUAGGCAAAAUAAGGCAACAGAGGAACAUGUUCCAGAUAAAGGAACAAGAUAAAAUUGCAGAAGAAGAACAAAUAAAGUGGAGAUGGGCAAUCUCCCCAAGACAGAGUUCAGGGCAGUGAUUGUAAAGAUGAUCAAAGAACUAGGGAGAAGGAUGGACACAGAGAAGUUAGCAGCUUUUAAAAAAGAGUUAGAAAAUAUAAAGAACAACCAGCUAGAGAUGAAGAAUAUAAUAACUGAAAUGAAAAAUACAAAUAAAAAGAAAAGGCCAAAACUAGGAACAUGAACAUUAUGAAAGGAAAAAAGCUCACAGGUAAAGGCAGGCAUAAAGGUAGGGAAUCAUCUCACACACAAAACUAGUAGUAAGAAGGCUAAAAGACAAAAGUAAAAUCAUCUGUAUCCUCAACAAACAGUUAAGAGACACACAAAAUAAUUAGGUGUAAAAUAUGAUAUCAAAAACAGUAAUUGCAAGGGGAGGAGAGUACAAAUGCAAGGUUGUGAAAAUGCAUUUGAAAUUAAGGGAUUAGAAACUUAAUUAUAAAUAUGUAUAUGUAUAUAUAUAUGGAUUGCUAUAUAAAUAUCUCAUGGUAAUGACAAACCAAAAACCCAUACUAGAUACACACAAAAGAAAAAGGAAUUCAAACAUAACACUAAAGAUGGUCAUCAAAUCACAAGAGAACAACAGGACAAAAAAGACCUACAAAACAACCCCCAAACUAUUAACAAAGUGGCAAUAAGAACACACAUAUUAACAAUUACUUUAAAUGUAAAUGGACUAAAUGCUCCAGUCAAAAGAAAGAAAUAAAAACUGGUGCUGAAUUGAUA
This is a non-coding RNA of Vicugna pacos (alpaca), 10768 nucleotides long. The record is from RefSeq and is a predicted model, not a curated record. NCBI's taxonomy places the organism in Eukaryota, Metazoa, Chordata, Mammalia, Artiodactyla, Camelidae.